RNAcentral lists this transfer RNA (82 nucleotides) under Pseudomonadota bacterium. Its description in RNAcentral is "Proteobacteria bacterium (activated sludge metagenome) tRNA-Leu". It matches the Rfam family "tRNA". Rfam says of the family: Transfer RNA (tRNA) molecules are approximately 80 nucleotides in length. Their secondary structure includes four short double-helical elements and three loops (D, anti-codon, and T loops). The record is from RNAcentral. Lineage: Bacteria; Pseudomonadati; Pseudomonadota.
GGCUUGAUAGCAAAGAGGUCAAAUGCGUCUGACUAAGUAUCAGAUCCUAUUAGGUUCGCAGGUUCGAAUCCUGCUCAAGCUU